UUGAGUUGGUCCACCCAUCUAGCUGGCGC
RNAcentral lists this small RNA (29 nucleotides) under Bombyx mori (domestic silkworm). RNAcentral's name for it is "ovarian small RNA-9693". The record is from RNAcentral. Lineage: Eukaryota; Metazoa; Arthropoda; Insecta; Lepidoptera; Bombycidae.